This 122-nucleotide ribosomal RNA is filed under the name Tremella fuciformis. Lineage: Eukaryota; Fungi; Basidiomycota; Tremellomycetes; Tremellales; Tremellaceae. The record is from RNAcentral.
AUCCACGGCCAUAGAAUACGAAAAACGCCCCAUCCCGUCCGCUCUGGGCAGCUAAAUCGUGUAUCGCUCAGCUAGUACCAUCGUGGGGGACCAGAUGGGAAUCCUGAGUGCUGUGGUUUUUG